UUUUUUAUGAUAAAGACAAUAAUGUCCAUUCUGUGUUUAUUUUGUAGCCAUAUCCUUCUUUAUUAUAUAGGUAUACCAAUUCGAUUUUUAAUCCAUAUAUGGAAUCAUAGAAAAAUUGAUCUAAACUGACCUCCAAACCAUCAAUGAUUCUGAAACGAGGAGUACCCAAAUUGCAUCUAUGCUUAAAUUCGCAUCGUCAAAAGUCGAAUAACAGAGCUUUUGUUUAAUUUCUUCAAAUAUUUUGAACAAUUGGAUAUAAGUCCAUGCUUACUCUUCAUUUUUUUUUUAAAUGGGUACUUGUAACAUAUUGUAUUUGAUCAUUUUAAAAAGAUGACGUUUUGAUGACGUCGCAUGGCGACGUUUCAGUACAUUUUGCUUUUUCAGUAAACACUUCAUCUAUUGAUAAAUACU
Molecule: long non-coding RNA, 411 nt
Filed under: Mytilus galloprovincialis (Mediterranean mussel)
Lineage: Eukaryota; Metazoa; Mollusca; Bivalvia; Mytilida; Mytilidae
Source: RNAcentral